Cyprinodon tularosa is the source of this 273-nucleotide long non-coding RNA. RefSeq lists it as uncharacterized. The transcript has 3 exons. NCBI's taxonomy places the organism in Eukaryota, Metazoa, Chordata, Actinopteri, Cyprinodontiformes, Cyprinodontidae. The record is from RefSeq and is a predicted model, not a curated record.
UGUCAUUUCGGAAAAUAAGGUUAAACGUCGCAAUUGCUCAACAGAGCUUGCAUAUUGAAAUAACAGCACCUCCUCAAUGCUGAGGCAUUAUAGGGCCAAGCAUGAGAGUGAAAUCCAUGAUACACCCAUGAUGAACUCAGCUUCCAGGAAGCAGAUGCUUGAUGAGGCUGUGCUUAAUUUCAUUGUAAAGGACUGCCAGCCCCUCGCUGUUGUGGAGAAUGAAGGGUUCAGGGAGCUGGUUCAGCUCCUUGAGCCCUCAUAUGUUUUGCCAAC